RNAcentral lists this ribosomal RNA (529 nucleotides) under uncultured bacterium. RNAcentral's name for it is "bacterial SSU rRNA". It matches the Rfam family "Bacterial small subunit ribosomal RNA", at positions 355 to 899 of the family's 1533-position model. The record is from RNAcentral.
UGGGGAAUCUUGGACAAUGGGGGCAACCCUGAUCCAGUCAUGCCGCGUGAGUGAUGAAGGCCUUAGGGUCGUAAAGCUCUUUCGCCUGUGAAGAUAAUGACGGUAGCAGGUAAAGAAACCCCGGCUAACUCCGUGCCAGCAGCCGCGGUAAUACGGAGGGGGUUAGCGUUGUUCGGAAUUACUGGGCGUAAAGCGCACGUAGGCGGACCAGAAAGUUGGGGGUGAAAUCCCGGGGGCUCAACCCCGGAACUGCCUCCAAAACUAUUGGUCUAGAGUUCGAGAGAGGUGAGUGGAAUUCCAAGUGUAGAGGUGAAAUUCGUAGAUAUUUGGAGGAACACCAGUGGCGAAGGCGGCUCACUGGCUCGAUACUGACGCUGAGGUGCGAAAGUGUGGGGAGCAAACAGGAUUAGAUACCCUGGUAGUCCACACCGUAAAACGAUGAAUGCCAGUCGUCGGGUAGCAUGCUAUUCGGUGACACACCUAACGGAUUAAGCAUUCCGGCCUGGGGAGUACGGUCGCAAGAUUAAAA